This 497-nucleotide ribosomal RNA is filed under the name uncultured bacterium. RNAcentral describes it as "partial 16S ribosomal RNA". It matches the Rfam family "Bacterial small subunit ribosomal RNA", at positions 28 to 507 of the family's 1533-position model. The record is from RNAcentral.
GACGAACGCUGGCGGCGUGCCUAAUACAUGCAAGUUGAGCGCUGAAGGUUGGUACUUGUACCAACUGGAUGAGCAGCGAACGGGUGAGUAACGCGUGGGGAAUCUGCCUUUGAGCGGGGGACAACAUUUGGAAACGAAUGCUAAUACCGCAUAAAAACUUUAAACACAAGUUUUAAGUUUGAAAGAUGCAAUUGCAUCACUCAAAGAUGAUCCCGCGUUGUAUUAGCUAGUUGGUGAGGUAAAGGCUCACCAAGGCGAUGAUACAUAGCCGACCUGAGAGGGUGAUCGGCCACAUUGGGACUGAGACACGGCCCAAACUCCUACGGGAGGCAGUAGUAGGGAAUCUUCGGCAAUGGACGAAAGUCUGACCGAGCAACGCCGCGUGAGUGAAGAAGGUUUUCGGAUCGUAAAACUCUGUUGGUAGAGAAGAACGUUGGUGAGAGUGGAAAGCUCAUCAAGUGACGGUAACUACACAGAAAGGGACGGCUAACUACGUG